UCGCAGAUGAGCGGUAAGUCGACCAGUCCUUCCGCCGGGGAGGGAUGCCCCCAUACGCGCGCCACAUACUGCUUUUUCGGCUCACGUUCGCGGAACUGACGUUUUAGCUCUCGCUCCGCGGCUUUGGUCAGCGCCACUACAAUCACGCCGCUGGUGGCCAUAUCCAGACGAUGCACCGACUCUGCCUGCGGGUAGUCACGCUGGAUACGCGUCAUAAUGCUGUCUUUGUGCGCUUCCAGACGCCCCGGCACGGACAACAGUCCGCUGGGCUUAUUGACCACCAUAAUGUGCUCAUCCUGAUACAGGAUAACCAGCCAGGGUUCCUUCGGCGGAUUGUAGUUUUCCAUCCCCAUGUAC
RNAcentral lists this unclassified non-coding RNA (357 nucleotides) under uncultured fungus. Its description in RNAcentral is "partial internal transcribed spacer 1". Lineage: Eukaryota; Fungi. The record is from RNAcentral.